UAAUACGUAGGUGGCGAGCGUUGUCCGGAUUUACUGGGCGUAAAGAGCGCGCAGGCGGUCGUGCAAGUCGCGUGUGAAAGCCCCCGGCUCAACUGGGGAGGGUCACGCGAUACUGCUCGACUCGAAGGCAGGAGAGGGAAGUGGAAUUCCCGGUGUAGUGGUGAAAUGCGUAGAUAUCGGGAGGAACACCAGUGGCGAAGGCGACUUCCUGGCCUGUUCUUGACGCUGAGGCGCGAAAGCUAGGGUAGCAAACGGGAUUAGAUACCCCG
RNAcentral lists this ribosomal RNA (269 nucleotides) under uncultured bacterium. RNAcentral's name for it is "partial 16S ribosomal RNA". It matches the Rfam family "Bacterial small subunit ribosomal RNA", at positions 521 to 789 of the family's 1533-position model. The record is from RNAcentral.